CAAUAGCGUAUAUUUAAGUUGUUGCAGUUAAAAAGCUCGUAGUUGGAUUUCGGGUGGGACGCAGCGGUCUCGCAUUGCGUUUGUACUGCUGCAGCCCUCCUUCUUGCCGGGGGCGGCCUCUCGGACUUCACUGUCUGGGGGUCAGAAUCGGCGAUGUUACUUUGAGUAAAUUAGAGUGUUCAAAGCAAGCUUACGCUCUGAAUAUAAUAGCAUGGGAUAACACGACAGGACUCUGGCCUAUCGUGUUGGUCUAUAGGACCAGAGUAAUGAUUAAGAGGGACAGUCGGGGGCAUUCGUAUUCCGUUGUCAGAGGUGAAAUUCUUGGAUUUACGGAAGACGAACAUCUGCGAAAGCAUUUGCCAAGGAUGUUUNUAUUGA
Molecule: ribosomal RNA, 378 nt
Filed under: uncultured eukaryote
Lineage: Eukaryota
Description: partial 18S ribosomal RNA
Rfam family: Eukaryotic small subunit ribosomal RNA
Source: RNAcentral